This 333-nucleotide ribosomal RNA is filed under the name uncultured eukaryote. RNAcentral's name for it is "SSU rRNA". It matches the Rfam family "Eukaryotic small subunit ribosomal RNA", at positions 202 to 535 of the family's 1831-position model. The record is from RNAcentral.
UGUAUUUAUUAGAUAAAAAACCAAUGCCCUUCGGGGCUUUUUGGUGAUUCAUGAUAACUUUACGGAUCGCAUAGCCUUGCGCUGGCGACGGUUCAUUCAAAUUUCUGCCCUAUCAACUUUCGAUGGUAAGGUAUUGGCUUACCAUGGUUUCAACGGGUAACGGGGAAUUAGGGUUCGAUUCCGGAGAGGGAGCCUGAGAAACGGCUACCACAUCCAAGGAAGGCAGCAGGCGCGCAAAUUACCCAAUCCCGACACGGGGAGGUAGUGACAAUAAAUACUGAUACAGGGCUCUUUUGGGUCUUGUAAUUGGAAUGAGUACAAUUUAAACCUCUA